Molecule: ribosomal RNA, 872 nt
Filed under: uncultured marine bacterium
Lineage: Bacteria
Description: bacterial SSU rRNA
Rfam family: Bacterial small subunit ribosomal RNA
Source: RNAcentral
AUUGAACGCUGGCGGCAGGCCUUACACAUGCAAGUCGAGCGAGAAAUUUUCUUCGGAAAAGAGUAAAGCGGCGGACGGGUGAGUAACGCGUAGGAAUCUACCUAGUAGUGGGGGACAACAUGUGGAAACGCAUGCUAAUACCGCAUACGCCCUAUGGGGGAAAGCAGGGGAUCUUCGGACCUUGUGCUAUUAGAUGAGCCUGCGUCGGAUUAGUUUGUUGGUAGGGUAAUGGCCUACCAAGACUACGAUCCGUAGCUGGUCUGAGAGGAUGAUCAGCCACACUGGGACUGAGACACGGCCCAGACUCCUACGGGAGGCAGCAGUGGGGAAUAUUGGACAAUGGGCGCAAGCCUGAUCCAGCCAUGCCGCGUGUGUGAAGAAGGCUCUAGGGUUGUAAAGCACUUUCAGUAGGGAGGAAAAGUUAGUAGUUAAUAACUGCUAGCCCUGACGUUACCUACAGAAGAAGCACCGGCAAACUCCGUGCCAGCAGCCGCGGUAAUACGGAGGGUGCGAGCGUUAAUCGGAAUUACUGGGCGUAAAGCGCGCGUAGGCGGUUUGAUAAGCUGGAUGUGAAAGCCCCGGGCUCAACCUGGGAACUGCAUCCAGAACUGUCUGACUAGAAUACAAUAGAGGUGAGUGGAAUUUCCUGUGUAGCGGUGGAAUGCGUAGAUAUUAUGAAGAAUACCAGUGGCGAAGGCGGCCUCCUGGAUCUGUACUGACACUGAGGUGCGAAAGCGUGGGUAGCGAACAGGAUUAGAUACCCUGGUAGUCCACGCCGUAAACGAUGACAACUAGCUGUUGGGAGGCAAUGCCUUUCAGUGGCGCAGCUAACGUUUUAAGUUGUCCGCCUGGGGAGUACGGCCGCAAGGCUA